This is a long non-coding RNA of Engraulis encrasicolus (European anchovy), 741 nucleotides long. RefSeq lists it as uncharacterized. The record is from RefSeq and is a predicted model, not a curated record. Lineage: Eukaryota; Metazoa; Chordata; Actinopteri; Clupeiformes; Engraulidae. The transcript is spliced from 6 exons.
GCAACUUACCAGCUGUCAUGGCGCCUCACUGUUGUGUGCCCAAAUGUUCGUCCUCAAAGAGAAAAAAAAUCCUACCGUGGACAGACUUUCCACCGUUUCCCCAAAGAGCAGGCACUUCGCCGUGGAUGUAUAAAUCACAUCUAGAGGGGUCCUGGUCCAUAUUUCAAGAUCAACGCUGAGACCAAGGUUUGCUCUGAGCACUUUGAGAAGCAGUGUUUUGUAAAGACCACCCGUGUUAUCACAAAGCUUAUAAAGGAUGCUGUGCCAACUUUCGCCUGGACUUCAGAGAGGCCAAAGAGGAGAAUCAUCAUUCGCAGACCGAGAGAUGAUGACCCAUUCCUGAAGUUGGACGCCAGAAUGCAGGAAGGUGCUGUUUAAGAGCCUAGGCGGUGGAAGAAGCACUUGCAGGUAUGCUACCGACCAGGCUCCUCAACACCAAUCCGAGACGGAAGAUGAAACGGGAUGAAGCAGUUAGAUUGAGACAAGGCGGCCGGAAACUUUGAUGACCUCAAUGACACUGGCUAGGUGAAGGACAUCAACAAAAUGGCAUCAGGUCACCAGACAUCAGCUCAUAAUCCACAACAUCAUCAACCAUUUUGCGCCAAAAAUGAAGCCGUUCACAUACCAUGGCAUCCUAAGCAGGCAGCACUACACUACUAUGCAACAGUGAGAGAGAGCGGGCAAGGACAAGUAAAGCGGACCUACACUACAGCAAGACUUUGACACUUCUCCACGUUCGAG